Molecule: long non-coding RNA, 241 nt
Filed under: Chinchilla lanigera (long-tailed chinchilla)
Lineage: Eukaryota; Metazoa; Chordata; Mammalia; Rodentia; Chinchillidae
Description: lncRNA (ENSCLAG00000026916.1)
Source: RNAcentral
AAAACAGUGAGUGGUAGUCAUGAUUACUUAACCAUGAAGUCAUUUUUUACUUAACAAUUGUCUUUUCUGUUAGGCUGGAAGUUCAAGAUGCCCAGAAUGAAGUCUGGGGUGGAGAACCAAAGGAUCCAGUGAACAGUUGAAGGCCUGAAGCUCACUGCAAAGUCCCGUGGGAGUCUGUUCAUAUCCAUCUGCACUAGAAGGCUAAGGAGUGGACUGGAACCCUGGAAACAACUGUUCAAAG